RNAcentral lists this ribosomal RNA (300 nucleotides) under uncultured Paracoccaceae bacterium. Its description in RNAcentral is "bacterial SSU rRNA". It matches the Rfam family "Bacterial small subunit ribosomal RNA", at positions 115 to 432 of the family's 1533-position model. The record is from RNAcentral. Lineage: Bacteria; Pseudomonadati; Pseudomonadota; Alphaproteobacteria; Rhodobacterales; Paracoccaceae.
GCGUGGGAAUAUGCCCAAAGGUACGGAACAACCACUGGAAACGGUGGCUAAUACCGUAUGUGCCCUACGGGGGAAAGAUUUAUCGCCUUUGGAUUAGCCCGCGUUGGAUUAGGUAGUUGGUGAGGUAACGGCUCACCAAGCCGACGAUCCAUAGCUGGUUUGAGAGGAUGAUCAGCCACACUGGGACUGAGACACGGCCCAGACUCCUACGGGAGGCAGCAGUGGGGAAUCUUGGACAAUGGGGGCAACCCUGAUCCAGCCAUGCCGCGUGAGCGAUGAAGGCCUUAGGGUUGUAAAGCU